Molecule: long non-coding RNA, 221 nt
Filed under: Elaeis guineensis (African oil palm)
Lineage: Eukaryota; Viridiplantae; Streptophyta; Magnoliopsida; Arecales; Arecaceae
Description: long non-coding RNA (EGUI_LNC040033)
Source: RNAcentral
GUGCGACAACCAUAAAAAGGCCAUAAUUUUGUGUGCCAAAAGAUGAGAGCUCUUCACCAUGAGAUACCAGAGAGAAAGAGGAUCAAAAAUACUUCUUUGGGAUGUGAGGAUUGGGUGGGUUUCCUUCCUCCUUGGCAUGAACAAAAGAGGAGAUCGUUCUCCUCUUGGGUGAGAGACCUAGAACUAUUCUAGAUUUUUGGGUGAGGGAAAAACCAAAGAGA